This 486-nucleotide long non-coding RNA is filed under the name Zea mays. Its description in RNAcentral is "long non-coding RNA (ZMAY_LNC000035)". The record is from RNAcentral. Lineage: Eukaryota; Viridiplantae; Streptophyta; Magnoliopsida; Poales; Poaceae.
UCCUCCUUUCUGUUCGAUGCAAGGACAACAAUGCUGCACAUGCCAGUGAAGCUCUGCGUCGCGCCAAGUUCAAGUUCCCUGGCCGCCAAAAGAUUAUUGAGAGCAGAAAGUGGUGAGUGCAUGAUGAAUUCAUUGCUGCCAUGAAACCAAAAUGCCAUAGCCUAAUAGCUUGCAUAAGUUAUUUUUUAUUAUUGUUUUUUGAUUUGCACUGUCUUGUCCAGGGGCUUCACCAAGUUCAGCCGUGCCGACUACCUGAAGUACAAGAGUGAGGGUAGAAUUGUUCCUGAUGGUGUCAACGCAAAGGUACAGCUAUCACAUAUCUUGCUACAUUUAGAUAUAUCUCUGAAUUAGUUUUGGGAUAGUAAUGUAAUUUCCAUUGAUACGCAUAUUUUGAAAUGGAGCUAUUCUUACAAUGUUUGCUCCGUCUUCUCUUCGGCAGUAUAUUAACCAGUUCAUAAUCUAAUUUUAACUUCUCCUGACUUAUUA